AACGAACGCUGGCGGCAGGCUUAACACAUGCAAGUCGAACGCCCCGCAAGGGGAGUGGCAGACGGGUGAGUAACGCGUGGGAAUCUACCCAACCCUACGGAACAACUCCGGGAAACUGGAGCUAAUACCGUAUACGCCCUACGGGGAAAGAUUUAUCGGGGAUGGAUGAGCCCGCGUUGGAUUAGCUAGUUGGUGGGGUAAAGGCCUACCAAGGCGACGAUCCAUAGCUGGUCUGAGAGGAUGAUCAGCCACAUUGGGACUGAGACACGGCCCAAACUCCUACGGGAGGCAGCAGUGGGGAAUAUUGGACAAUGGGCGCAAGCCUGAUCCAGCCAUGCCGCGUGAGUGAUGAAGGUCUUAGGAUUGUAAAGCUCUUUCACCGGAGAAGAUAAUGACGGUAUCCGGAGAAGAAGCCCCGGCUAACUUCGUGCCAGCCGCCGCAGUAA
RNAcentral lists this ribosomal RNA (446 nucleotides) under uncultured bacterium. RNAcentral's name for it is "partial 16S ribosomal RNA". It matches the Rfam family "Bacterial small subunit ribosomal RNA", at positions 29 to 523 of the family's 1533-position model. The record is from RNAcentral.